This 485-nucleotide ribosomal RNA is filed under the name uncultured bacterium. RNAcentral's name for it is "bacterial SSU rRNA". It matches the Rfam family "Bacterial small subunit ribosomal RNA", at positions 327 to 804 of the family's 1533-position model. The record is from RNAcentral.
CGCCUUAUACUCCUACGGGAGGCAGCAGUGGGGAAUUUUGGACAAUGGGGGCAACCCUGAUCCAGCAAUGCCGCGUGAGUGAAGAAGGCCUUCGGGUUGUAAAGCUCUUUCAGCCGGAAAGAAAUCGCGCAGGAUAAUACUCUGCGUGGAUGACGGUACCGGAAGAAGAAGCACCGGCUAACUACGUGCCAGCAGCCGCGGUAAUACGUAGGGUGCGAGCGUUAAUCGGAAUUACUGGGCGUAAAGCGUGCGCAGGCGGUUAUGUAAGACAGAUGUGAAAUCCCCGGGCUCAACCUGGGAACUGCGUUUGUGACUGCAUAACUAUAGUACGGCAGAGGGAGGUGGAAUUCCGCGUGUAGCAGUGAAAUGCGUAGAUAUGCGGAGGAACCCCGAUGGCGAAGGCAGCCUACUGGGCCAGUACUGACGCUCCUGCACGAAAGCGUGGGGAGCAAACAGGAUUAGAAACCCCAGUAGUCCACGUACCA